Long non-coding RNA from Medicago truncatula (barrel medic), 530 nucleotides. RefSeq lists it as uncharacterized. The record is from RefSeq and is a predicted model, not a curated record. Lineage: Eukaryota; Viridiplantae; Streptophyta; Magnoliopsida; Fabales; Fabaceae. The transcript has 3 exons.
AGCAUGAGUUAUUUUACUAUAUAAAGUGAUAAAACAACUUUUUUCGGUAUAUGCAAAGUUGAAAAAAAGGCUAAAAUUAUAAUGUUUGUUUACAACAUGAUCCUUUUUGUUUCCCUAUUUCUUGUUGUAGUCGACGGUGAAAAAGAGUGUGCGUGUGUUGCCGAUUGUAUAUACAAAUAUCCCACACUACGCGAUCUAGUUGUGAAAUGCAUCGAAGGUUAUUGUAAGGCCAUACUCUAUAGGAAAGGAUGGGUAGGCGGUGUGCAGGAUUAGUCGCUUUGCUUUGCUUGUGAGUGUGCCGGAGGCUAGCUUGGAGCUACCUCGUCUUUUUCUUUUGGAGUCUUAGUGUGUCGAGCUCUGAUUAGAUGUUUGUCUGUCAUUGUUUAUAUUUUAUGACUUUAUGAGAUUUAUUCACUCAGUAUGCUGAGAUUGAAGAUUUUUUUUGGUGAUGUAUUAUGGUAUAUGUGACAUGACAACUUGGAGAUUUUAUUUAAUUGUUGAUGAGAUAUUAUGAUAUUAUUCCGUUGCGA